AACGCUAGCUACAGGCUUAACACAUGCAAGUCGAGGGGCAGCAUGAACUUAGCUUGCUAAGUUUGAUGGCGACCGGCGCACGGGUGAGUAACACGUAUCCAACCUACCCUUCAGUAAGGGAUAGCCUUUCGAAAGAAAGAAUAAUACCUUAUGUGAUCGUUUGAUGACAUCAGAUGACGAUCAAAGAUUUAUCGCUGAAGGAUGGGGAUGCGUCCCAUUAGGCAGUAGGCGGGGUAACGGCCCACCUAACCUACGAUGGGUAGGGGUUCUGAGAGGAAGGUCCCCCACAUUGGAACUGAGACACGGUCCAAACUCCUACGGGAGGCAGCAGUGAGGAAUAUUGGUCAAUGGCCGUAAGGCUGAACCAGCCAAGUAGCGUGCAGGAUGACGGCCCUAUGGGUUGUAAACUGCUUUUAAACGGGGAUAAAGUGAGCCACGUGUGGUUUAUUGCAGGUACCGUUUGAAUAAGGACCGGCUAAUUCCGUGCCAGCAGCCGCGGUAAUACGGAAGGUCCAGGCGUUAUCCGGAUUUAUUGGGUUUAAAGGGAGCGUAGGCCGCCUUUUAAGCGUGUUGUGAAAUGUCCUGGCUCAACCAGGGCACUGCAGCGCGAACUGGAGGGCUUGAGUGCGCACGACGCAGGCGGAAUUCGUGGUGUAGCGGUGAAAUGCUUAGAUAUCACGAAGAACUCCGAUUG
RNAcentral lists this ribosomal RNA (694 nucleotides) under uncultured bacterium. Its description in RNAcentral is "bacterial SSU rRNA". It matches the Rfam family "Bacterial small subunit ribosomal RNA", at positions 32 to 715 of the family's 1533-position model. The record is from RNAcentral.